GGGAAUCUGCCCUUCGGUUGGGAAUAACACAGAGAAAUUUGUGCUAAUACCUUAUAAUGUCUUCGGACCAAAGAUUUAUCGCCGAGGGAUGAGCCCGCGUAGGAUUAGCUAGUUGGUGGGGUAAUGGCCUACCAAGGCGACGAUCCUUAGCUGGUCUGAGAGGAUGAUCAGCCACACUGGGACUGAGACACGGCCCAGACUCCUACGGGAGGCAGCAGUGGGGAAUAUUGGACAAUGGGCGAAAGCCUGAUCCAGCAAUGCCGCGUGAGUGAUGAAGGCCUUAGGGUUGUAAAGCUCUUUUACCAGGGAUGAUAAUGACAGUACCUGGAGAAUAAGCUCCGGCUAACUCCGUGCCAGCAGCCGCGGUAAUACGGAGGGAGCUAGCGUUGUUCGGAAUUACUGGGCGUAAAGCGCGCGUAGGCGGCUGUUCAAGUCAGAGGUGAAAGCCCGGGGCUCAACCCCGGAACUGCCUUUGAAACUAGAUAGCUAGAAUCAUGGAGAGGUCAGUGGAAUUCCGAGU
This 520-nucleotide ribosomal RNA is filed under the name uncultured bacterium. RNAcentral's name for it is "bacterial SSU rRNA". It matches the Rfam family "Bacterial small subunit ribosomal RNA", at positions 120 to 674 of the family's 1533-position model. The record is from RNAcentral.